GUUCUAGUAGCUUACU
This 16-nucleotide transfer RNA is filed under the name Rhinocheilus lecontei tessellatus. RNAcentral's name for it is "partial tRNA-Thr". The record is from RNAcentral. Lineage: Eukaryota; Metazoa; Chordata; Lepidosauria; Squamata; Colubridae.